RNAcentral lists this long non-coding RNA (1035 nucleotides) under Anas platyrhynchos platyrhynchos (common mallard). RNAcentral's name for it is "lncRNA (ENSAPLG00000027554.1)". The record is from RNAcentral. Lineage: Eukaryota; Metazoa; Chordata; Aves; Anseriformes; Anatidae.
GAUGGACGUGGACCAGAUGGUGCUGAAGGUGGUGGAAGAAAACCUGUCUUUCCUCGGGAGGGCUUGUACAGGUCUGUCCCUAAGUGUCCACUGUCCAGUUAUGACACCCUGGAGAGAAACUCCUCUGCUGUGGCAAAGGAGCAUCCUCAGCUGAGAGGGCUUCAGCCCUCUGUCCAAAUAGAUGUGUCUGACAGAAAAGCAAAUGGAUAUUGUAGGCAGGUUUUUGCAAAUCUCAGUGAAGAGUCUCUCAUCCUUAUCUGUGACCUUGAGCAGGGAAGAGAGGUGAUUCUUUCAAGGCUGUCACCCUACAUAUUUCGUAGGCCAUUAAUACUCUGUAUUUACACUUCUCAAGGUAUGUCAGUGGAAGUGUGUAAUCAUUAAAGAAGGACGCAAAAAGGUAAAAACCUGUAUUGCAUUUUUCUUAGCAACAACAAACUCAACAGCAAAAUCUGUUUUUACAUACCUUUAAAGAAGACUACAUUUACUGUUAACAGUUUUAUGUUAGCAUCGUAUCAAUGUUUUUACAGGGGUUAUGGUAGCAACAUCAGCUUUCUGCUGUGUGAAACUACUUAAGGUAGGCAUGCGGCUUUAAUAAUAGGUAUAUGUGAACUACAUGAAUUAUUUCCCCUUUUCACUUUACAUAUAUAUAGUAUUAUGUAUAGGUAUUAAUGAAGGGUCAAAAUCUAUGGCAGAGAGACAUUUUCAGUCUUUGAAGCUGUCCAAAAUUUGGAAUAUCAAAGGUGUCUUGGAGAACUUUGGCUUCAGAUGCAGGAACUGAGAGGAUAAAAGUGGUAUAAUGCAUGUAAUUUAACCGUAUCUGUGAAAUGUAUCUUAGGGAUACACUUCAAAGUUGUGGAUAUACACGUAACAAACACAUCUUUCAAAGUAAUAUCUUCUUCACACAAUGCACAAACUCUAAAAUAUAUUUCCACUGCAGGUUGUCAAAAUAAUACUUGCAGUGGAUUUUGAAAAAAUGUCAGACUUUUAUUACUGGCAAUAUUAUUCAGAAUAAAAUAAGGGAAAUUUUACUUCGCA